GGGCCUGUUAUGGCUUCGACGGGAACGUUUACAACUAAAUUGGCAAGCGGACGUAUCUGCCUUAGAGUACACCAAAUACGUGCAAACGCAUUUGAAAAUGCAAAAGCUCGCGUAGCAAACUUGUUUGCUGCUCCUGCAUUUGCGCCAGCAGUAGCUUAACAGCUCACUGCCGUCUUGUUGCUUGACUCCUACUGGAGUAGCAAGGCGUCAUAUUAGUAGGAUAGGAGUUCGGCCCAAUUCGACCAAAUUCCAAAAUUAAGAAUUUGCCUCGGUGUGUGUUUUGUUUGUUUUAAGCCCACCGAAUAAGAUUUAAACAACCUACGCUUGUAGAAGAUUUAGUUCGUUCGUUUUCGGACAGCGGUUCGACUCCGCUCAGGUCCACCA
This 384-nucleotide transfer-messenger RNA is filed under the name Patescibacteria group. RNAcentral describes it as "JACRAP01 sp016213365 Standard tmRNA". It matches the Rfam family "transfer-messenger RNA". Rfam says of the family: Bacterial tmRNA, also known as 10Sa RNA or SsrA, is named for its dual tRNA and mRNA-like properties. Its role is to liberate the mRNA from a stalled ribosome. To accomplish this part of the tmRNA is used as a reading frame that ends in a translation stop signal. The record is from RNAcentral. RNAcentral also lists the same sequence under 1 other name.